UCCGGGACGCUGGCGAGUGGCGAACGGGUGCGUAACGCGUGGAAACCUGCCCCGAGGUGUGGGACAACAGUUGGAAACGACUGCUAAUACCGCAUAAGCCUUACGAGGGAAAGGCGCAAGUCGCCUUGGGAGGGGUCCGCGUCGGAUUAGCUAGUUGGUGGGGUAAAGGCCUACCAAGGCGAUGAUCCGUAGCUGGUCUGAGAGGAUGAUCAGCCACACUGGGACUGAGACACGGCCCAGACUCCUACGGGAGGCAGCAGUGGGGAAUAUUGCGCAAUGGGAGAAAUCCUGACGCAGCGAUACCGCGUGGGUGAAGAAGGUCUUCGGAUUGUAAAGCCCUUUCAGCAGGAAAGAUGAUGACGGUACCUGCAGAAGAAGCCCCGGCUAACUCCGUGCCAGCAGCCGCGGUAAUACGGAGGGGGCGAGCGUUGUUCGGAAUGACUGGGCGUAAAGGGCGCGUAGGCUGCUCUGCAAG
Molecule: ribosomal RNA, 475 nt
Filed under: uncultured Magnetococcus sp.
Lineage: Bacteria; Pseudomonadati; Pseudomonadota; Magnetococcia; Magnetococcales; Magnetococcaceae
Description: bacterial SSU rRNA
Rfam family: Bacterial small subunit ribosomal RNA
Source: RNAcentral